UGAAGGAGGAGCUUGCUUCUCCGGAUGAGUUGCGAACGGGUGAGUAACGCGUAGGUAACCUGCCUGGUAGCGGGGGAUAACUAUUGGAAACGAUAGCUAAUACCGCAUAAGAGUAGAUGUUGCAUGACAUUUGCUUAAAAGGUGCAAUUGCAUCACUACCAGAUGGACCUGCGUUGUAUUAGCUAGUUGGUGGGGUAACGGCUCACCAAGGCGACGAUACAUAGCCGACCCGAGAGGGUGAUCGGCCACACUGGGACUGAGACACGGCCCAGACUCCUACGGGAGGCAGCAGUAGGGAAUCUUCGGCAAUGGACGGAAGUCUGACCGAGCAACGCCGCGUGAGUGAAGAAGGUUUUCGGAUCGUAAAGCUCUGUUGUACGAGAAGAACGAGUGUGAGAGUGGAAAGUUCACGCUGUGACGGUAUCUUACCAGAAAGGGACGGCUAACUACGUGCCAGCAGCCGCGGUAAUACGUAGGUCCCGAGCGUUGUCCGGAUUUAUUGGGCGUAAAGCGAGCGCAGGCGGUUAGAUAAGUCUGAAGUUAAAGGCUGUGGCUUAACCAUAGUACGCUUUGGAAACUGUUUAACUUGAGUGCAAGAGGGGAGAGUGGAAUUCCAUGUGUAGCGGUGAAAUGCGUAGAUAUAUGGAGG
RNAcentral lists this ribosomal RNA (649 nucleotides) under uncultured Bacilli bacterium. Its description in RNAcentral is "bacterial SSU rRNA". It matches the Rfam family "Bacterial small subunit ribosomal RNA", at positions 68 to 704 of the family's 1533-position model. Lineage: Bacteria; Bacillati; Bacillota; Bacilli. The record is from RNAcentral.